GUGCCUAAUACAUGCAAGUCGAACGGUCUUUCUAUGGAAGCUUGCUUCCACUGAGAAGAUAGUGGCGAACGGGUGAGUAACACUGGGUAACCUGCCCAUAAGAGGGGGAUAACAUCCGGAAACGGGUGCUAAUACCGCAUAGUUUUCUUGAUCGCAUGAUUGAGAGAGGAAAGACGGCCUUUGUGCUGUCGCUUAUGGAUGGACCCGCGGCGUAUUAGUUAGUUGGUGAGGUAACGGCUCACCAAGACGAUGAUACGUAGCCGACCUGAGAGGGUGAUCGGCCACAUUGGGACUGAGACACGGCCCAAACUCCUACGGGAGGCAGCAGUAGGGAAUCUUCCGCAAUGGACGAAAGUCUGACGGAGCAACGCCGCGUGAGUGAAGAAAGGUUUUCGGAUCGUAAAACUCUGUUGUCAGAGAAGAACAAGUUGGAGAGUAACUGCUCCAGCCUUGACGGUAUCUGACCAGAAAGCCACGGCUAACUACGUGCCAGCAGCCGC
Molecule: ribosomal RNA, 500 nt
Filed under: uncultured bacterium
Lineage: Bacteria
Description: bacterial SSU rRNA
Rfam family: Bacterial small subunit ribosomal RNA
Source: RNAcentral